RNAcentral lists this ribosomal RNA (229 nucleotides) under uncultured bacterium. RNAcentral describes it as "partial 16S ribosomal RNA". It matches the Rfam family "Bacterial small subunit ribosomal RNA", at positions 568 to 796 of the family's 1533-position model. The record is from RNAcentral.
UGCGUAGGCGGGCUAAUAAGUCAGUGGUGAAAUCUCUGGGCUCAACCGGGAAACUGCCAUUGAUACUGUUAGUCUUGAGUUCGGUUGAGGUAGGCGGAAUGUGUAAUGUAGCGGUGAAAUGCUUAGAUAUUACACAGAACACCAAUUGCGUAGGCAGCUUACUAGACCGACACUGACGCUGAGGCACGAAAGCGUGGGGAGCGAACAGGAUUAGAUACCCUGGUAGUCC